UCACACAGGAAACAGCUAUGACCAUGAUUACGAAUUCGAGCUCGGUACCCGGGGAUCCUCUAGAGAUUCCUACGGGAGGCAGCAGUGGGGAAUCUUGCACAAUGGAGGAAACUCUGAUGCAGCGACGCCGCGUGAGCGAUGAAGCCCUUCGGGGUGUAAAGCUCUUUCGACAGGA
Molecule: ribosomal RNA, 175 nt
Filed under: uncultured bacterium
Lineage: Bacteria
Description: partial 16S ribosomal RNA
Rfam family: Bacterial small subunit ribosomal RNA
Source: RNAcentral